This 253-nucleotide ribosomal RNA is filed under the name uncultured Eubacteriales bacterium. RNAcentral describes it as "uncultured Clostridiales bacterium partial 16S ribosomal RNA". It matches the Rfam family "Bacterial small subunit ribosomal RNA", at positions 524 to 776 of the family's 1533-position model. Lineage: Bacteria; Bacillati; Bacillota; Clostridia; Eubacteriales. The record is from RNAcentral.
UACGUAGGGGGCAAGCGUUAUCCGGAUUUACUGGGUGUAAAGGGAGCGCAGGCGGCGCGUUAAGCCUGGUGUGAAAGCCCGCGGCCCAACCGCGGGACUGCAUUGGGAACUGGCGCGCUGGAGUGCCGGAGGGGUAGGCGGAAUUCCUAGUGUAGCGGUGAAAUGCGUAGAUAUUAGGAGGAACACCAGUGGCGAAGGCGGCCUGCUGGGCUUUUACUGACGCUGAGGCUCGAAAGUGUGGGGAGCAAACAGG